UGCUGGUAUCAAGCAACACAUUGCAGUGCUGUAGGAGUAUCCUAUAUUGCAAGAUGAUGAAUAUAUUUCGACAUUAUUUGGUUCAGUACCUGCAAGAAAGUGCCCCUCAAAUACAAGACGUCGCAAAUACCAGAGCGCUAUGGUUGCUUGGGAUAGUUCAGUCGCAGUAUUCUGAGAGUUAUUCAUCAUAUCCAUUCGUUAUACAACAAUAUAUUUUGAAGAGUUAGACGUCAGUGUUCUACAGAAGCUUGUGGUAGCUCAAUACAAGUAUUUUGAGCGUUUUGCAUCACAUCUAUUCACCAUACAACAAUAUUUUUGACGAAUGGUUGUUUCUAUAUAUGAC
This is a long non-coding RNA of Schistocerca nitens (vagrant locust), 343 nucleotides long. RefSeq lists it as uncharacterized. The transcript has 3 exons. Lineage: Eukaryota; Metazoa; Arthropoda; Insecta; Orthoptera; Acrididae. The record is from RefSeq and is a predicted model, not a curated record.